GGCAUGCUGUCGCUACCAGAGGUGGAGCGAGUGCCCAUCCUCGACGCAGGCCUCCCCACCGCGACUGGAAGUAAGAGUACAUUGUACCAUUAGCAAUAUAUCCAGUCGUGAGGUCAGUUCUCCUGUCUACGACAUGCAGACAUAUAACAAACUUGCUACUCAAAUCUCCCUCCCUCCAUCUUACAUAGCUCCUGAGGUAAAAGUUAAAAUCCAUCCAUACUUGCUUCUUUUUUCUAUUGUUUACUGUUAGUCGUGACUUGUUCUCCACCAUCUAUUAAUGAAAAAAAUGAUAGGACACUGGUAAAAUUAGUGGAACAAUUUGGACCGAGGAAGUGGUCUUACAUAGCACAACUGCUGCCAACAAGAGUGGGGAAGCGAUGCAGAGAAAGAUGGCACAACCAUUUGAGGCCAAACAUCAAGUAAUAUUUGGAAUGGUCAUAAGUCAAACUAGACUUCCCUAGCGACAGUGAUUCAACGAAUAAGAACUAGGCCAGCAGUUAUGUAGUGCAGAGAUCUACUCCCAGUCCCGGGAACCAGCUUCCAGUGCCUCUUGUACCGAUCAUCGACAAGGGAGUGCUAGAGGAGGAGGUUAUGGUGAGUUUUGUCACGACUAAUGGUGAGCCCACGACUAUGGCCACGUCAAAGCUGGUCUGGUGGAACCUCGGGGAGCAGAUGAUGAUGACGCCGACAUCAUGCACCUCUGCUGCGACGCUGCCGACCAGGAGACGGGCCCCUCCGUCGCGCGCGCUCUACAAGUCUGGAUCCAUCAUCGUGCUCGGCAAGACUGACUUCCUUAGGCCAGACAUGGAUCUCGUACCCAGAUGGACAGCCAUAAAGAGAAGGCACAUGACAUUAAGUCCAUGCUCCAAUGAGCCUCAACAUGCGGUGGGUAUGACAGUGCCAGGCAUUAUAUUAAGAAGACAUUCUCACGCCUCAGCCGCUGGCGCUGCCUCCUCCAUCGACGCCUCGACGGCUCUGGUUGUGCAGCGGAUCAAGAUGGCGCUCAGGAUGGUCGAGCGCUGCUGCAUCGCCGUGUCGUCCCUAUCGGUGCCUCAACUAUUGGCGUUGCCUUCUCCGAUGGCUCUGGUCGUGCAUGCGGCCACCGGUGUUUCACAAGGAUGAACCAGAUUAUUGAUAAGUUGAUAGAUUUUGAAGUUGAUGGCUUGAUGUCGAACCAAGUGGUGUGUGGUGUUGUCUAUCAAGUGACCAAGAUCAAGUAUUUAAGUGUGAAGCUGCUGUGCAAGUGAAGCGUUGCUGGCGCUUGUGCAAGUGAAGUGUUGCUAGCGCCUUGUUGUCUGGUGCCACCUUAACCUGUUGGCUCUAUAUUAGUCAUGGGUGUUGCCUGUUCCUGUCCGCAAGUUGUAACACCCUGAAUUUGGGGUAUAAUUUUUUAUUUUCUAAUAUCCACCAAAUUCAGGUGUUA
Molecule: RNA transcript, 1423 nt
Organism: Zea mays
Lineage: Eukaryota; Viridiplantae; Streptophyta; Magnoliopsida; Poales; Poaceae
Exons: 6
Source: RefSeq, a predicted model, not a curated record